CAUCACCUACCUCUGUAUAAUUCAAUUUCAAGCAUUUUGGAGAAAUGGGGAGUUUUCCCAUUUGUGUCCGUUAGGAUCUCCACUGAUUGGCAUUGGAGGUUCCUUCUCACACGGGCUGGACUUCAUUAUCGUUCUCCUUUCUUCUCUGCUUCGUGUCUGUACUCGGUACAUGGCACGGGAAGAGGAUGGUGACGAUGUCCGUCGAGGCCAAGCUGCUUUUGCUACGCAACAAGAGCAUGAUGUAAUGAAGAGGCAGCUUUCAAGGGCCAGUGCCCUGCCACGGCCGAGAAAGGUCCAUCACCAUCAAGGUCCCGUUUCAGGCAUGAAAGCCUUUUUCCUCGGCAGGUCGGGGGGAUGGGCGUUUUCUUGCCCUGCGGAACGGGCCAUCGAUCCGGUUGUUCGACUGUGCUGAUACCCGCAGGAGUAGCACAAGCCUUGAGACUCCACUUUGACGGGAUCAGCACGCAGUUUGAUCCCGGUGCCAUUGGGGGUUUUCCUAUGCAACCAGCUAUUUUCUUGCCAAAAAGAAUCCCUGGUGGCAAGAAGGUGUGAAACCCAGAUGUUAGCAUACUACAUGAUUCAGGAGACAUAUUUCCCUCAGGAGUUUGCAGUGCUCUCAUCAUCUUCUGAGUUUCUGCAUGAAUUAUUGCCCAAAUUUUGAUUUUCGGCUUUUGCUUUGCCAAUCACUGAGCUUCCCCUGAUUUGCUGUAAUGUCACAAAGAAAGAGAGAAAUAUAGUUAACCGGAGAAUAAAGGAGACGAGAAAGAGAUUUUGGGCCUUCCUUUUGUCUAUUUCCCGGUUACUAAUUAUGUAAGGAUGUUUUAGAUUCCUCGAUAUAAUCUCUAUACUCUUUCAUUC
Long non-coding RNA from Eucalyptus grandis, 858 nucleotides. RefSeq lists it as uncharacterized. The transcript is spliced from 4 exons. The record is from RefSeq and is a predicted model, not a curated record. Lineage: Eukaryota; Viridiplantae; Streptophyta; Magnoliopsida; Myrtales; Myrtaceae.